AACGAACGCUGGCGGCAUGCCUAACACAUGCAAGUCGAACGAACCCUUCGGGGUGAGUGGCGCACGGGUGCGUAACACGUGGGAACCUGCCCUUAGGUUCGGAAUAACAGUUAGAAAUGACUGCUAAUACCGGAUAAUUUCUUCGGACCAAAGAUUUAUCGCCUUUGGAUGGGCCCGCGUAGGAUUAGCUAGUUGGUGAGGUAAAGGCUGACCAAGGCGACGAUCCUUAGCUGGUCUUAGAGGAUGAACAGCCAAACUGGGACUGAGACACGGCCCAGACUCCUACGGGAGGCAGAAGUGGGGAAUAUUGGACAAUGGGCGAAAGCCUGAUCCAGCAAUGCCGCGUGAGUGAUGAAGGCCUUAGGGUUGUAAAGCUCUUUUACCUGGGAUGAUAAUGACAGUACCAGGAGAAUAAGCCCCGGCUAACUCCGUGCCAGCCGCCGCUGUAA
This 449-nucleotide ribosomal RNA is filed under the name uncultured bacterium. RNAcentral describes it as "partial 16S ribosomal RNA". It matches the Rfam family "Bacterial small subunit ribosomal RNA", at positions 29 to 523 of the family's 1533-position model. The record is from RNAcentral.